This 199-nucleotide ribosomal RNA is filed under the name Rhytismataceae sp. ZK45/08. RNAcentral's name for it is "5.8S ribosomal RNA". The stretch from base 1 to 154 matches the Rfam family "5.8S ribosomal RNA". Rfam says of the family: 5.8S ribosomal RNA (5.8S rRNA) is a component of the large subunit of the eukaryotic ribosome. Lineage: Eukaryota; Fungi; Ascomycota; Leotiomycetes; Rhytismatales; Rhytismataceae. The record is from RNAcentral.
AACUUUCAACAACGGAUCUCUUGGUUCUGGCAUCGAUGAAGAACGCAGCGAAAUGCGAUAAGUAAUGUGAAUUGCAGAAUUCAGUGAAUCAUCGAAUCUUUGAACGCACAUUGCGCCCUCUGGUAUUCCGGGGGGCAUGCCUGUUCGAGCGUCAUUACAACCCUCAAGCUCUGCUUGGUAUUGGGCGUCACCGCUUCGG